This 30-nucleotide unclassified non-coding RNA is filed under the name Dictyostelium discoideum. Lineage: Eukaryota; Evosea; Eumycetozoa; Dictyosteliales; Dictyosteliaceae. The record is from RNAcentral.
AAACGAUACUGUAGAUACCUCUGUAGGCAC